This is a long non-coding RNA of Poecilia latipinna (sailfin molly), 1055 nucleotides long. RefSeq lists it as uncharacterized. NCBI's taxonomy places the organism in Eukaryota, Metazoa, Chordata, Actinopteri, Cyprinodontiformes, Poeciliidae. The transcript has 3 exons. The record is from RefSeq and is a predicted model, not a curated record.
AAUAACCAUGACAGAAACAUUUGGGCAAGUCAAUGAAAAUGAAUUUUAUAGAAUGUGAAAUGGAGGUGCUGGUGUUUGAGGUUGAGGCAAGAAGAAAAUUAAUAUCUGGAAGUCACUCUGGAAUUAGUAAUAAAAUGACAAUGCGGCAUAUGCUGUUAAUGCGAGAGGAGCAGAAUUUAGAUCACUGGCUGAAAUUAAAAAGAAAUGGACUGAAAUUAAGGUGGAUGUCAACAAGAAAGUUGGUGCACAUAUCUGGGGUGUUUCAACAACAGGUGGAGGCCCAGAAUUACCAGAACUGACUCCACAUAAAGGAAGAGUUUCUACAGUGAUCAGGAAAACGGCACUUCCUGGCCUCCUGCCAGAACACGAAGGGGAAUCGGACAUGUUGGGUAUUGGUCAAGUGGAAACCAGGAAGUGCAUCGGAUCUGAGAAGAACCUCAGUCAUUGGUGCUCACUCAAUGCUGUGCUGCAGUUAGAGGGAUGCUCUCCAAACCAUCAGAUUCUCCUCCAUUCUGAAUUCCAGUCUUUGUGUGAGAAAGAAAGAGAACACAAGGCAACGUGUGUUUUCUUUCUGGAUACAACCCAGAGACAGCUACAACUGUGCCUGAUGAGAUCUGCACUUGUUUUGCUCGCUGUCAGCGAGCACGGUUGGUGUCAUAUGUGGUGAUCCAGCUAAUGCAAAGCUGCAGCAGAAUAUCAGCACAAGCUUUGUUGAAAAGGUGCCACCGACAUCCAGGCUCUGGCAACUGUGAUUCAAGAGUUAAGUGGAACAAACCUGAAAUUUUUAUACAAGUUGAGGUUAGAAAUUAAAAUUUAAUUCACUAAAAAAAAUGCAGAAAAUCUACAGUAUAAUUUAAAGACUAUUAUAUUGUAUUUUACUGCCUUUGGUGAUUUUUGCUAAAGGCUAAGACUGUUUUGUGUUGAACUAAAUAAAAUUGUUUUUAACAAUGUGACAUUUUCUAAAUGCAGAAAUUUAGGACUACAGAUAUUAAUGUUAUGUACAGAUAUUAAAGCAGAUUUAUUUAUUUUUCUGUUAAGUUUUGAUCAAUAGAUGA